UUUUCCCUCGCCAGGGGGGCCCGCCUGCGCGCGCGAGGCGAGGGGGAACGCGCCGCCCCGCCCCCCUCCACCGAGGAAACGACGCAGCCGAAAAGCGCGGAAACUACAGGAGCCACCCCGCCGGGCGACGGGUAGACAACGCCCACGCAGAGGGAGGCAAAUGCGGAAAGCCAGCUGGCCGCAGAAACGAAGAAAAGGGGCAUUUGCGGAGCACGGUGGAAAGCGGCCCAUUGGGACAGCGCGGGUGGGGGGGGGCGGCUAAAGGAGGCAACGCCAUGCAUAGUGACGGGCGCCCCCGCCAGCCGCAUGCGGUUCUUCGGCGUUCCUCCACGCCUGGGCGAACAAAUUUCGGCACGUCUUCGCUACGCUCGCGGGUCAGAUUUGCCCUUCUAGCUGAGGUUUGGUCA
This is a non-coding RNA of Leishmania braziliensis MHOM/BR/75/M2904, 407 nucleotides long. The record is from the annotation of a RefSeq genome assembly. Lineage: Eukaryota; Euglenozoa; Kinetoplastea; Trypanosomatida; Trypanosomatidae.